UUUAGUUUCAGCCCAAAAUUUCAGAAAAUUUUAUAAAGACCAACUGAGAGGUAAAUCCUUCCUGUUAUCCCUCAAGGAAGAACAUCAAAAUGCAAACUCUUGCGUCCUUCAUAAUCCUACUCUCCUUGCUCAGCCUCAUCAUGAACAUUCAAGCACAGGUCACCUACCGUUAUCAUUUUUGCACAAACUCAACUACGUUCACCAGAAACAGCACCUUCCAGGAAAAUCUAGAUGUUCUUCUCUCUUCCCUUUCAUCCA
RNAcentral lists this long non-coding RNA (258 nucleotides) under Manihot esculenta (cassava). RNAcentral describes it as "long non-coding RNA (MESC_LNC011065)". The record is from RNAcentral. Lineage: Eukaryota; Viridiplantae; Streptophyta; Magnoliopsida; Malpighiales; Euphorbiaceae.